GCGGCUGUAGCUCAGUUGGUAGAGCUCCUGGUUGUGGUCCAGGCGGUCGUGGGUUCAAGUCCCACCAGUCGCCCA
Molecule: transfer RNA, 75 nt
Filed under: Candidatus Kaiserbacteria bacterium CG10_big_fil_rev_8_21_14_0_10_59_10
Lineage: Bacteria; Candidatus Kaiseribacteriota
Description: tRNA-His
Rfam family: tRNA
About the family: Transfer RNA (tRNA) molecules are approximately 80 nucleotides in length. Their secondary structure includes four short double-helical elements and three loops (D, anti-codon, and T loops).
Source: RNAcentral